GAUGAACGCUGGCGGCGUGCCUAAUACAUGCAAGUCGAGCGAACAGACGAGGAGCUUGCUCCUCAGACGUUAGCGGCGGACGGGUGAGUAACACGUGGAUAACCUACCUAUAAGACUGGGAUAACUUCGGGAAACCGGAGCUAAUACCGGAUAAUAUAUUGAACCGCAUGGUUCAAUAGUGAAAGACGGUUUUGCUGUCACUUAUAGAUGGAUCCGCGCCGCAUUAGCUAGUUGGUAAGGUAACGGCUUACCAAGGCAACGAUGCGUAGCCGACCUGAGAGGGUGGUCGGCCACACUGGAACUGAGACACGGUCAAGACUCUUACGGGAGGCAGCAGUAGGGAAUGUUCCGCAAUGGGCGAAAGCCUGACGGAGCAACGCCGCGUGAGUGAUGAAGGUCUUCGGAUCGUAAAACUCUGUUAUUAGGGAAGAACAAAUGUGUAAGUAACUAUGCACGUAUUGACGGUACCUAAUCAGAAAGCCACGGCUAACUACGUG
This 497-nucleotide ribosomal RNA is filed under the name uncultured bacterium. RNAcentral's name for it is "partial 16S ribosomal RNA". It matches the Rfam family "Bacterial small subunit ribosomal RNA", at positions 28 to 507 of the family's 1533-position model. The record is from RNAcentral.